This 454-nucleotide ribosomal RNA is filed under the name uncultured Alistipes sp. RNAcentral describes it as "partial 16S ribosomal RNA". It matches the Rfam family "Bacterial small subunit ribosomal RNA", at positions 341 to 792 of the family's 1533-position model. The record is from RNAcentral. Lineage: Bacteria; Pseudomonadati; Bacteroidota; Bacteroidia; Bacteroidales; Rikenellaceae.
ACGGGAGGCAGCAGUGAGGAAUAUUGGUCAAUGGACGGAAGUCUGAACCAGCCAAGUCGCGUGCAGGAAGAAGGCCCUACGGGUCGCAGACUGCUUUUGCCUGGGGAUACACGGGGGCUCGUGAGCCCCUCAGAAGGUACCAGGCGAAUAAGGAUCGGCUAACUCCGUGCCAGCAGCCGCGGUAAUACGGAGGAUCCGAGCGUUAUCCGGAUUCAUUGGGUUUAAAGGGUGCGCAGGCGGGCUGGCCAGUCCGCGGUGAAAGCCCGGCGCUCAACGCCGGCACUGCCGCGGAUACUUCCAGCCUUGAGUCGUCACGAGGGCGGCGGAAUGCGGCGUGUAGCGGUGAAAUGCUUAGAUACGCCGCAGAACACCGAUUGCGAAGGCAGCCGCCCAGAGACGCACUGACGCUGAGGCACGAAGGCAUGGGGAUCGAACAGGAUUAGAUACCCUGGUA